Long non-coding RNA from Podarcis raffonei (Aeolian wall lizard), 2638 nucleotides. RefSeq lists it as uncharacterized. The transcript has 4 exons. Lineage: Eukaryota; Metazoa; Chordata; Lepidosauria; Squamata; Lacertidae. The record is from RefSeq and is a predicted model, not a curated record.
AAAGGCUCUUCCUUGCCUCAGUAUCUUUCAUUUCAGUUAGUAUGUUACAUUUUUCUACUAUUAAAGCUUUGUUUCAUAUAUAUACACGAGCUGUUUACCUCACUGGAUGAAAAGACAAACCCUGCUAAAGAAGGAGAAGGUGUAAUAUCUUUGACUGGCUGCCCAUGAUUGUCAAGGAGGUUUACCACCAUCUCCAUAGGAUCUCAGACUCAGCACCAAAGAGACACUUUCAGCAAUUGUCAGCCUCGCCACAAAGCGUCUGAGCCCGGUGGUGGACAGCUUGCUGGAGUGCUCAGCAGAGUGCGAUGAAAGAGCCACAGCGAUAUGGAAGGCCUUAGCCACCGAUCCUUACUCCGGCAGCAAGCUGAUGAAACCCACCCUCCAAAGGCUUCAGGAUAAAGACCCCAAUUACAGGCGGUGCAGCACGUCACAAACUCCGGUAGUGGUACAAAACCAUUCAGUUUUUCUCUCCUGGAUUGUUCUUGAAUGGGAGCUGGAUGGGGGUGGGGGCUUCUUGCUGGGAGGGGGGGUACAUCUUAAUAACUGGCCUAGCAGCAUCUUAGCGGUCCAUCGCUGUGAGGCUCAGUGGCAGAGCACCUGCCUUGUAUGCAGAAGGGCCCCAGCAUCUCCAUGUCGGGGUGUCCCUCACCUGAAACCCUGGACAGCCACUGCUAGUCAGUGCAGACAACACUAAGUGAGAUGGACCAGGGUCCUGAGCUGCAUCCUGCAGAGGGUUGGGAGAUCUUGAUCUGAUGAUGACCUCUGCUGAAUGCCGUUCUCCUGUCCUGAAAAUACGUAUCUCGGGCGUCACAGGCUGGGGCAAAGAGGUGCACCUUCAGCGGAACACUUAGCGGUUCUUCCUGCCAGCUUCAGGCUUGUGCAUCCUGUCUCUUACUCUGAUGUUUCAGGACCUUGUUCACAUCCUCGACAGAACAGUACAAGAACAUUGCCAGACUGGCCAGAGAUAACAUGCGCCAUCCGAACACUAAGAAAAGAGCCAUAGGGAUGUUUCAGGACCUUGUUCACAUCAUCCCUGGGGCAAUACAAGAGCAUUGCCAGACUGACACGGGAAUAUAUGCGUCAUCCCAACUCGAAGAAAAGAGCCAUAGGCAUGGCAUUCUACUUGGAGGUGAGGGUCGGAAAUGGGGAACGCCUGCAGGCGCUCCUGCUUUGAAACAACUGUGCCCAGGCAGGCAAGGAAAGCAGAGGGUGUAAGAAGGUCUCGUGGGGGGGAGGGAAGCAUGCAACACACCUAUGUGGGGAGCGAACUCCACAAUUUACCACUCUUCUCUAAAUCCAUUUGCAUUCAUCAUUGUUUCAUAAGAACAGGGCAGAGCAGAUAAUGUCUACAGGGAGCGUGGAAUGAAAUCCGCAAGAGCAAAUCUGGAUUCUGGGGUUGGCUAAAAAGAAAGAAAGGCAAAUGAAGCACUCUUGCUUUCCACAAUUUAUAUCUGGGUUGUUUCCUGCCAGCUCCGAGUUCUGCAGGAGCACUGCAAAUCAUAUUCAGCAAACUCUGCUGGCUUUGGAGAUUGAUUUGCAAGAUACUGCCCUGCACUCUCAAGCAUCCCUUCCUUGACAGAGAGAGCUAGAUAUGACUUGGGAUACGACUUGGGUGAAAUCGGAGAGAAGUAGAGGGUAGUGAUGGGGGCAACACAAUCAGGUGGGCGGGGUGCAAGUAACCCUGGUGGUGGUGGUGGUGGUUGUGCAGGAACACUUAGCAGUUCUUCCUGCCAGCUUCAGGCUUGUGCAUCCUUUGUCUCUUACUCUGAUGUUUCAGGACCUUAUUCACAUCCUCCGUUGAACACUACAAGAGCAUUGCCAGACUGGCCAGAGAUAACAUGCGCCAUCCCAACUCAAAGAAGAGAGCCAUUGGCAUGGCAUUCUACUUGGAGAGUCAGAAGAUAUGGAGAAAGUAAUUGCGUGGAUGGCCAAUUUGUUGCCGGAAUUGGGAAUUUUGAAAGACGCGCUUGACCGCAUACAUAGGGUUGGGAAGCUGAGAAAUGAGUCAACUUGGCCGAGAGAUGUGGUAAUGUGCUUUGGGAGAUACACAGAGAGAGCAGGUAUUCAAGGCAAUGAAAGACUUGGAUAGACUUGAUAAAACUGUUGUAUAAUGGCAAGUAAGUGAUGGUUUUUGAUGACUUAUCUCUGGAAACAAUUAAAAGAUCGAGGCAAACUGAUAGAGUACUUACAAUUAGCAAGGAGAAUGGGGAUAGUGAGAGGAAACUCAACACAAGUAAAUAAGGAAUAAAUAAUUAAGGAGUAUCUCAAAGGGUACUGCGACAAUAAAAGCUUCCUGGCAGAUAUUGAAUGAGCUAUGCAAUACAAAGUAUCUGUUAGAAAAAGUUAAACUACGUUAAAGAAAAACAACUUUACAUAACUGUGUAAAUAGUUUAAUUGUAAAUCAGCACAACGGGUUUAGUCGGAAGUUUCUUUUCUUUGCAGAUUCGCACAGUGUUUACUAUAUUUGAUGGUUGUAAUUUACUUCUUAAUAUGUAUUUUAAAACUGUUUUUUCUAUCCACACUCAUUUCUUUUUCUUUCUUUUCCUUCUGUCCUUUUUUCUAUCUAUAUUCUUUAUAAUCUACAAUUAAGUGAAUGUUUGUUGGUAUUGUAUGUAUUUUAAGAUUUCUCUUGCUCAAU